GAAUUAUGUAGUAUGUGACGAUGCACAAAGGUUAUAGCAGAGUCCAGUUCUAUUGAUUCAACCUUAUCUUAGCAAAAGACCCAGAUCUUUGCACACGGUUGAUUCAAUAGGCAGCAGAAAGCCAGGCUUUUCCACAAGAGCUCCUUAUCGUACAGUGCGAAGAACCCUUAGGCCUACCUUAAAUCCUAUCUCAUCCCAAGCACCAGCCCUAUUAAGGCCUAUCACACCUUAACCCUAUCACAUGCCAAAGAUAUCAUUUGAGAUAAUCUAUUCCCCUAAAUUCAUUUUCUUGCAUUUAUCAAUCUGUUUUUUGAUUAGAGUGCAGCAACAACAGUCGCAUUUUCAAGAAAUGGAGAAUUUUUCGCUUCAGGUAGUGCCGAUGAACAGGUAAUGGUUUGGAAAACAAACUUUGACUCAGUCGAUUACAACGAAGUUUUAAAGGCUCACAGGAGACGGGUCGCCUCCCCGCCUUCAAAGCACGUUCAUGAUCCAGCUCCCAGAACCCCACCAAAGACACCCACUAGAACCAAAGAAGUAAGUAGAAUUUUAUGUUCUCUCUACAAUACACGUUUUUGCUGAUCGACUUUUUCCUUCAGUCAUUCACAGCUA
Non-coding RNA from Rhopilema esculentum, 609 nucleotides. The record is from RefSeq and is a predicted model, not a curated record. NCBI's taxonomy places the organism in Eukaryota, Metazoa, Cnidaria, Scyphozoa, Rhizostomeae, Rhizostomatidae.